UCCCAGUGUGGACGCCGAUGCCCUCGUGGGGUCUGAAUCUUCCUCUCCUGAUGAAGAACCGCAGCACAUCACCAGACCUAAAUCAAAGGAGGAAAGCCGGAGCACCCUCUGUUUGGCGAAAGCGUACCCCGAAUUCCCACCAAGCAUCUUGGAAUACAUCACUGAAUAUUGGCAGCACCACAAGGGCUCCCGUGGUCUGAGGAAAAGGUUCGAAAAUCAAAGAUCCAAAGUGGGUAGAAUCAUGGCCUUCCUCUCGUUUAUAACUGAAGGGCAGACAAUCCUCCAAAAUUGGACUUUCCUUUCAAAUAUGUCCAGGACAUACUAGUGGCCAGAACAUCUGCUAAGUGAGGGAAAAGCUGAGAACACAGUGAAAACGUACCUGGUGAAUUUGUCCCAGUUCCUGACCUACUUCAGGGACACCCCUCCCUCCUCAUCCAGGGUUCCAAAAAGAGCAGUGUUUGCCGUGCUUCGUGCUAUCUCAGAGUGCAUUUCAAACCUUGGCCCAGAUGUGGUCAUGCGUCAGAUAAGUGUCAAGAAAAAGAAGUUGAGCCGGACCAUCUCCAAGGACCAACUUCACCUCUGCAAAAUCCUGUCCAGGAGACGCAUCCCUGAACUUCUUGAUCAACUGUCUGAGGACCCCAACCCGGAGGCGUGCAGGAGAUUCUUCGGGUACCUCAGUGUUUAUCUAGCAAGCCUUUAUGGACACCGGACCGGUAUUCUAAAAAACAUAACUGUGGCGGAGGUUGACGAGGCCCAGCAGGAUGCCACAGUCGGGCAAAUGGGCUUUGCUAUAUGAAUUCAAUUCAAUUUUAUUUAUAUAGCGCCAAAUCAUGAAACAUGUCAUCUCAAGGCACUUUACAAAAUCAAGUUCAAUCAUAUUCAAAAAUGAUCCGUCAGAAUUUAGAGGCAGCCGUCAAGCCAUCACGUACGACAGGACAUGACACUGCCGAACCUUCUCUCCUCUCCAUGUCAGACUCAUCAGGUGAUGGGCUUGAGGAGGAAGCGGAGGGUGCGUCAUCCAGCCAGCCUGCUGCAUCCAGCCCGCUGCCAUCGCCUUCCAGCCCCCCCGCCGUCCUCACCAACAUCCAGCCAGUCCACUGGAUCACAAAGCCCUGAUCACGCUUCUGAGAGCGAUGCCGAUUACACUCCUGACAGCGAGCGUGAUUACACUUGUGAGAGCGAGACUGAUGACACUUCUGAGAGCGAUCCUUCGUAUGCACCAAAUAGAGGGACACAACAACC
Long non-coding RNA from Fundulus heteroclitus (mummichog), 1242 nucleotides. RefSeq lists it as uncharacterized. The record is from RefSeq and is a predicted model, not a curated record. The transcript has 4 exons. NCBI's taxonomy places the organism in Eukaryota, Metazoa, Chordata, Actinopteri, Cyprinodontiformes, Fundulidae.